GACGAACGCUGGCGGCGUGCUUAACACAUGCAAGUCGAACGGAAAGGCCCUGCUUUUGUGGGGUGCUCGAGUGGCGAACGGGUGAGUAACACGUGAGUAACCUGCCCUUGACUUUGUGAUAACUUCAGGAAACUGGGGCUAAUACCGGAUAGGAGCUCCUGCUGCAUGGUGGGGGUUGGAAAGUUUCGGCGGUUGUGGAUGGACUCGCGGCUUAUCAGCUUGUGGGUGGGGUAGUGGCUUACCAAGGCUUUGACGGGUAGCCGGCAUGAGAGGGUGACCGGCCACAAUAGGACUGAGAUACGGCCCAGACUCGUACGGGAGGCAGCAGUGGGGAAUCUUGCCCAAUGGGCGGACGCCUGAUGCAGCAACGCCGCGUGCGGGAUGACGGCCUUCGGGUUGUAAACCGCUUUAGCCUGUGACGAAGCGUGAGUGACGGUAAUGGGUAAAGAAGCACCGGCUAACUACGUG
Molecule: ribosomal RNA, 468 nt
Filed under: uncultured bacterium
Lineage: Bacteria
Description: partial 16S ribosomal RNA
Rfam family: Bacterial small subunit ribosomal RNA
Source: RNAcentral